CAGAGCUCUGCAGCCAUCCCUACCAGCAAGUUCCUGCCCCUGUCAGUUAAAAGCCUGUUUACCUUUGAACUCAGUGGGAACAAGAACCAGGCCCUUGUGCAACUGUGGGAAAUAAUUGACUGCAGUAACAUUUCCACAGCCCUGUGAGCUGAUUUGAACCAGAUUACUCAGGAAACUCAAAAACCCGAUGCGAGGUUUUUAUGAUGGAUUUUUCCAAGGCAAAAAUCUAUGGACUGGCUUCAUACCACCAGCACAGUUUAGGUUUUCCAUCGUGAGACUGAUGCUACCCUUGAGCCUGAAAAUGGCUGGCAAGAGGCUUCUGGGUGCCCAGAGGAGACUGUCACAGCAGUGCCUGUGGGGAGAUGCUGGAGUCACUGAGGCAGAGCAAGUCCUUCUCUGAGCCAACUGAUCCUUGGCAGGUUGCAAACAGAGCAAAACUAAAAGUGGCAAAUGCACUAUUUCUGUGGAUGGCAGACAGACCAGAGAGCAAUUACACUCCCCAGUGUGGAACAUCUCACAUCAACAAGGCUCACUUUGGUGCUGGGGAUUCAGUGGGAUACAGCUCCAGUGGGCUCUGGCACAGACCCUAAAUAUAGAACAUUACAUGACCUUAAUGUUGCUUUCGAAAAUAGACUGCUGAUACUGAGACUUACAUAAAGAAAUACAUAAAUUUACUGUUCAACAUGGUGGAUAAAUGCCCUGUGGCAAACAUCUAUUAGAGAAGUAGAAUGUAAUUAAGGUUACUUAAUGCUGGGAAAGUAAACAUUACUUGG
This is a long non-coding RNA of Corapipo altera (White-ruffed manakin), 773 nucleotides long. RefSeq lists it as uncharacterized. The record is from RefSeq and is a predicted model, not a curated record. Lineage: Eukaryota; Metazoa; Chordata; Aves; Passeriformes; Pipridae. The transcript is spliced from 4 exons.